RNAcentral lists this ribosomal RNA (481 nucleotides) under uncultured Streptococcus sp. RNAcentral's name for it is "bacterial SSU rRNA". It matches the Rfam family "Bacterial small subunit ribosomal RNA", at positions 903 to 1382 of the family's 1533-position model. Lineage: Bacteria; Bacillati; Bacillota; Bacilli; Lactobacillales; Streptococcaceae. The record is from RNAcentral.
CUACAAAUGAAUUGACGGGGCCCGCACAGCGGUGGAGCAUGUGGUUUAAUUCGACGCAACGCGAAGAACCUUACCAGGGCUUGACAUCCCCUGACCGCGUAUGAAAGUACGUUUCACCCUCGGGUGACAGGGAGACAGGUGGUGCAUGGUUGUCGUCAGCUCGUGUCGUGAGAUGUUGGGUUAAGUCCCGCAACGAGCGCAACCCCUAUUGUUAGUUGCCAUCAUUCAGUUGGGCACUCUAGCGAGACUGCCGGUAAUAAACCGGAGGAAGGUGGGGAUGACGUCAAAUCAUCAUGCCCCUUAUGACCUGGGCUACACACGUGCUACAAUGGUUGGUACAACGAGUUGCGAGUCGGUGACGGCGAGCUAAUCUCUUAAAGCCAAUCUCAGUUCGGAUUGUAGGCUGCAACUCGCCUACAUGAAGUCGGAAUCGCUAGUAAUCGCGGAUCAGCACGCCGCGGUGAAUACGUUCCCGGGCCUU